GGUAGCGUGGCCGAGUUGGUCUAAGGCGUUGGAUUUAAGAUCUCUUGAUUCCCAAUGGGCGCAAGUCCGCGCGAGUUCGAACCUCGCCGCUACCA
Crucibulum laeve is the source of this 95-nucleotide non-coding RNA. Lineage: Eukaryota; Fungi; Basidiomycota; Agaricomycetes; Agaricales; Nidulariaceae. The record is from the annotation of a GenBank genome assembly.